This 493-nucleotide ribosomal RNA is filed under the name uncultured bacterium. RNAcentral describes it as "partial 16S ribosomal RNA". It matches the Rfam family "Bacterial small subunit ribosomal RNA", at positions 28 to 507 of the family's 1533-position model. The record is from RNAcentral.
GACGAACGCUGGCGGCGUGCCUAACACAUGCAAGUUGAGCGACGAACCAGGGCUUGCCCUGGGGCAAAGCAGCGAACGGGUGAGUAACACGUGGGUAACCUACCCCGAUAACCGGGACAACCCGAGGAAACUCGGGCUAAUACCGGAUGUGCUCACUGGACUUCGGUUCAGUGCGUAAAGGAAGCUUCGGCCUCCGUAUCGGGAGGGGCCCGCGGCCCAUUAGUUUGUUGGUGAGGUAACGGCUCACCAAGACCGCGAUGGGUAGCUGGUCUGAGAGGACGAUCAGCCACACUGGGACUGAGACACGGCCCAGACUCCUACGGGAGGCAGCAGUGGGGAAUCUUGCGCAAUGCGCGAAAGCGUGACGCAGCAACGCCGCGUGGGGGAAGAAGGCCUUCGGGUUGUAAACCCCUUUCAGGAGGGACGAAGGUUCGGCGGUGAAUAGCCGUCCGGACUGACGGUACCUCCACAGGAAGCCCCGGCUAACUACGUG